RNAcentral lists this ribosomal RNA (484 nucleotides) under uncultured bacterium. Its description in RNAcentral is "partial 16S ribosomal RNA". It matches the Rfam family "Bacterial small subunit ribosomal RNA", at positions 28 to 523 of the family's 1533-position model. The record is from RNAcentral.
GACGAACGCUGGCGGCGUGCUUAACACAUGCAAGUCGAACGAUGAAGCCGGAGCUUGCUCUGGUGAAUUAGUGGCGAACGGGUGAGUAACACGUGAGUAACCUGCCCUUGACUCUGGGAUAACUGCGGGAAACUGUAGCUAAUACCGGAUACGACCCUCGGAGGCAUCUCCUGGGGGUGGAAAGAAUUUCGGUCAAGGAUGGACUCGCGGCCUAUCAGCUAGUUGGUGAGGUAAAGGCUCACCAAGGCGACGACGGGUAGCCGGCCUGAGAGGGUGACCGGCCACACUGGGACUGGGACACGGCCCAGACUCCUACGGGAGGCAGCAGUGGGGAAUAUUGCACAAUGUGCGCAAGCCUGAUGCAGCAACGCCGCGUGAGGGAUGACGGCCUUCGGGUUGUAAACCUCUUUUAGCAGGGAAGAAGCGAAAGUGACGGUACCUGCAGAAAAAGCACCGGCUAACUACGUGCCAGCCGCCGCAGUAA